CAGUAGCCACGGUAAUACGUAGGUGGCAAGCGUUGUCCGGAAUUAUUGGGCGUAAAGGGCUCGCAGGCGGUUUCUUAAGUCUGAUGUGAAAGCCACCGGCUCAACCGGGGAGGGUCAUUGGAAACUGGGAAACUUGAGUGCAGAAGAGGAGAGUGGAAUUCCACGUGUAACGGUGAAAUGCGUAGAGAUGUGGAGGAACACCAGUGGCGAAGGCGACUCUCUGGUCCGUAACUGACGCUGAGGAGCGAAAGCGUGGGGAGCGAACAGGAUUAGAUACCCCCGUAGUCCCUGUCUCUUAUAC
RNAcentral lists this ribosomal RNA (301 nucleotides) under uncultured bacterium. RNAcentral describes it as "partial 16S ribosomal RNA". It matches the Rfam family "Bacterial small subunit ribosomal RNA", at positions 509 to 807 of the family's 1533-position model. The record is from RNAcentral.